GGAAUUUUGGACAAUGGGCGCAAGCCUGACCCAGCCAUGCCGCGUGCAGGAAGAAGGCCUUCUGGGUUGUAAACUGCUUUUAUCAGGGAAGAAAACGCCCCUGCGGGAGUAACUGACGGUACCUGAUGAAUAAGCACCGGCUAACUCCGGUCCAGCAGCCGCGGUAAUACGGAGGGUGCAAGCGUUGUCCGGAUUUAUUGGGUUUAAAGGGUGCGUAGGCGGCCCGUUAAGUCAGCGGUGAAAUCCCAGGGCUCAACCCUGGAACUGCCGUUGAUACUGGCGGGCUUGAGUUCGGUCGAGGCGGGCGGAACUGGUGGUGUAGCGGUGAAAUGCAUAGAUACCACCAAGAACCCCGAUUGCGUAGGCAGCUCGCUAGGCCGAAACUGACGCUGAGGCACGAAAGCGUGGGGAGCGA
RNAcentral lists this ribosomal RNA (415 nucleotides) under uncultured bacterium. Its description in RNAcentral is "bacterial SSU rRNA". It matches the Rfam family "Bacterial small subunit ribosomal RNA", at positions 358 to 771 of the family's 1533-position model. The record is from RNAcentral.